This is a long non-coding RNA of Austrofundulus limnaeus, 487 nucleotides long. RefSeq lists it as uncharacterized. The record is from RefSeq and is a predicted model, not a curated record. NCBI's taxonomy places the organism in Eukaryota, Metazoa, Chordata, Actinopteri, Cyprinodontiformes, Rivulidae. The transcript has 3 exons.
CCCAAAAGAGUUGAAGCUGUUCUUGCUGCAAAGGUUGGACCAACGUCAUAUUGAACCCUAUGGAUUAGGAACGGGAUGUCACUUAAGCUCAUAUGAGCAUUUGAGUGUCUCUGGGUCGGGAUGAAGGUUUCUGAUCUUCAGGAUCAGACAGGCCAAAACUCCAGACUAAUGAAGUAGAGUUAAAGGUUCGUUUCACCUUGUUUCGUUUCGUACCUGGCCGGCUGACUGGGGUAGUGGGAGCGGAUGUGUUGUCCCAGCAUGACUUGAGACUGAUCCUGGAGGUUCUCCACUUGUUCUGGAUCCUUCAAACCUCGAGUUUCUGUUCAGGAGAGAAAAACAUGUUAACUAUUUCUGCACUCUGAAACCCCACAUGUCUYCAUUUAUUCACAUCGAAUACUUAAUUAUUUCAAACACUUUGCUACAAACAUGAAAAAAACUGAUUCAACAAACUUUAGUUAUUUUAUUGGUGCUGUUUUUUAUUACAGAG